Long non-coding RNA from Mustela lutreola (European mink), 2972 nucleotides. RefSeq lists it as uncharacterized. The record is from RefSeq and is a predicted model, not a curated record. NCBI's taxonomy places the organism in Eukaryota, Metazoa, Chordata, Mammalia, Carnivora, Mustelidae. The transcript is spliced from 2 exons.
CCAUUUUAAAGAAAUAAAAGUUUGAUGACAGUGACUUAUCAAAUAGAGUAUGUCAGUAAAGUCAAAUUAUAAAAAAGAAUCAAGUAAAAAUUCUGGAGUUGAUAAAUAUAACAAUAGAAAUUAAAAGUUCACUGGAGAGGAGGAGUUCAACAUUAUAUUUGAAGUAGCAGAAAAGAAUUGGUGAACCUGAAGAUAAUAUCAAUAUAGAUUGUCUCUUGUGAAGGACAGAAUUUUUUUAAAGGUUUUAUUUGAGAGAGAGAGUAAGCCUAUGAGUGGUGAGUAGGGCCAGAGGGAGAGGGAGAAGCAGACUCCCUGCUGACCAGGGAGCCCAACGCUGGACUUGAUCCCAGGACCCUAAGAUCAUGACCUGAACCAAAGGCAGAUGAUUAUCUGACUGAGCCACUCAGGUGCCCGUGAAGGACAGAAUUUUUUUAAAUGAAGAGAAGUGAACUGAGCCUCAGCAAUCUAUAGGACACCAUCAAAUACCAACAGGUUGCUAGGAAUGCUAGAUGGAGAGAAAAGAGAGAAAGGGGCAGAAAAAAGUAUUUUAAGAAAUAAGACUACAAACUUGCCAAAUUUGUUGAAAAACAUUAAUUCAUUCAUCAAAGAGGCUCAACAAACUGUAAGAUAAAUAAACAUGAAGAGAGUCACACCUAGACAUGUAAUAAUUGUACUAUUGAAAGAGAAAAAUCUUAAAAGCCACAAGAAAAAACCAACUCAUACAAGGAAUGCCCCAAUAAGAUUAACAGCCAGUUGCUCAUCAGAAUGAUGGAAGCCAGAAGGCAGUAGAAUGGCAUUCAAAGGCCUGAAAAGAGUAAGUUGUCAACCAAGAAUUCUAUAUCUAGCAAACCGUUCUUCAAAAUUGAAGGCAAAAAUGAAGAGGUUGGCAGAUAAACAAAGAAAGAAAAUUUAUUGUUAGCAGAACUGCCUUACAUAAUUCUAUAGAAAUUCUUCAGGCUAAAAGGAAGGGAUAUCAGAUGGUAACUUCAAUCUACAUGAAGCAUUAAAGAGCAUUGGUCAAGAUAAUUGUAUAAGUAAUUAUUAAAGGUUAUAUAAAUAUAUAUUUUCUUUUAACUGAUAUAAAAGAUAAUGCAUAAAUAAUAAUAUAUAAAGUAAUAAAAUCGAAGUAUUAGAUAUAUAGCGUGUUUAAAACUGAAUAUGACAUUAAUAGCACAAAUGAGAGGGAAGGAAUGGAAAUAUGUUGGGACAUAUUUCCAACAGGAGAUGUUACGAAGUAGUAACUUGACAGGAAGAAAUGAAAAGUACUAGAAAUGGUUAAUAUGUAGGUUAAUAGAAAAGAAGUCAUAAACCUAUUUUUUUCUUUCUUAACGUUUUCCCUUCUUUAAAGUAUAUAUGAUUGUGUAAAAUAAUAACAUUGUAUUGUUGUGUUUUAACAUAUAUACAUAAUGUAAGUGACAAUAAUAGCACAAAAAUGGAAGAGGAGUGGAGCUGUAUUGGAACAGUCUUUGUACAUGUUACUGGACUAAAACAGUUACUGAUCUGAAGUAGAUUGUGAUAAAUUAAGAAGCGUAGGGUAAUCCAUAAAACAAGCGCCCAGAAAGUAACUUUUUAAAGUAAUAACAAGAUCAAAAAGAAAUAAGAUAUAUAGAAAACAGAUAGUAAGAUGGCAGGCCUAAACCCAGCUAUAUCAGUAAUAACAUUAAAUAUGAGUAGAUUAAACACUGCAGUCAAUAGGCAGAAAUUGUCUGACUUCAUUAAAAAAAGAUCAACUGUAUGCUGUCUACAGGAGACAUAUUUUAGUUCAAGGAAACAAGUAAGUUGAAAGUAAAAUGAUGGAAAAAAAUAAACUAUGCAAGUAGUAGGGAAAAGAGCUUGAGUGGCUCUUCCAGUAUCAGACAAGAUAGACUUUAAUAUAAAAAUGCUAGCAACAAAGAGAAGGAUAUUUUAUAAUGUUAAGAGAACCAAUUAAUCAAGAAAAUACAACAUUUAUAAACAUAAAUGCAUCUAGCACAGAGCUUUUACAUACAUGAAACAAACACUAAAUUGAGAGGAGAAAUAGCCAACUCAGUAAUAGUUGUUAGAGGCUUUAAUAUGCCACUUUUCGUAAUGGAUAGGACAACUAGAAGAAAUAUCAGCAAGGAUAUAGAAUAUUUGAACAACACUAUCAACCUGUAUGAACCAACAUCUAUAGAACAGUCUACCCAACAAUAGCAGAAUACACAUUCCUUUCAAGUGCGCAUGGGAUAAUCUUCAGGCUAGACUGUAUAUAAGGCCUCAAAACAAGUCUUAAUAAAUUUAAAGUACUGAAAUCAUACAAAAUAUUUUCUCUGACUUCAGUGGAAUUAAACUGAAAAAAGAUGGGGGAAUCCACAAGUAUUUGGAAAUUAAACAACAUAUUUAUAAAUAACUUAUAGACCACAAAGAAUCACAAGAUAAAUUAGAAAUAUUUUGAGUUAAAUGAAAAUGAAAACAUAUGUCAAAAUUUCUAAGAUGCACCCAAAUAAGUAUUUGGUAGGAAAUUUAUAGUUAUAAACAUCUACAUUAUAAAAGAAGAUCUCAGAUGAACGAUCUAAGCUUCUGCCUUUAAAAACUAGAAAAUGAGAAGCAAAAUAAACCCAAAGUAGGCAGACAGAAGGAAAUUAGAAUUAAAGCAAAAUUUAUUGAAAUUGAAAGAAAAAGAAAAAAAUGGGUGGAACCAAAAGUUAACUUUUUUGAAAAGAUAACAAAAUAGACACCCUUUAGCAAGACUGACCAAGAAGAAAAAACAAAAGACACUAAUUACCAAGACUUACUCAAGAAGAAAUAGAAAAUCUGGAUAGCCCAUAGUAAGUUAAUAAACUAAAUUAUUAACAUUUUUUUCACAAAGAAAAGCCCAGGACCAGAUGUCUUCAACGGGUAUUUGGGAAAUUUCCUUCACAAACUCUUCCAGAAGAUAGAAGAAGAAAGAACACUUUCAAACUCAUUCUGUUAGACUAGUAUUAUCCUUAUACCAAAGCCAGAUGAAAACAACA